Molecule: ribosomal RNA, 292 nt
Filed under: uncultured bacterium
Lineage: Bacteria
Description: partial 16S ribosomal RNA
Rfam family: Bacterial small subunit ribosomal RNA
Source: RNAcentral
GUGCCAGCAGCCGCGGUAAUACGGAGGGUGCAAGCGUUAUCCGGAUUCACUGGGUUUAAAGGGUGCGUAGGCGGGUCAGUAAGUCCGUGGUGAAAUCUCCAAGCUUAACUUGGAAACUGCCGUGGAUACUAUUGGUCUUGAAUGUUGUGGAGGUUAGCGGAAUAUGUCAUGUAGCGGUGAAAUGCUUAGAUAUGACAUAGAACACCAAUUGCGAAGGCAGCUGGCUACACAAAUAUUGACGCUGAGGCACGAAAGCGUGGGGAUCAAACAGGAUUAGAUACCCUCGUAGUCC